RNAcentral lists this ribosomal RNA (253 nucleotides) under uncultured bacterium. RNAcentral describes it as "partial 16S ribosomal RNA". It matches the Rfam family "Bacterial small subunit ribosomal RNA", at positions 524 to 776 of the family's 1533-position model. The record is from RNAcentral.
GACGUAGGGCGCGAGCGUUGUCCGGAUUUAUUGGGCGUAAAGAGCUCGUAGGCGGCUUGUCGCGUCGUCCGUGAAAACCUGCGGCUCAACUGCAGGCUGGCGGUCGAUACGGGCAGGCUAGAGUUCGGUAGGGGAGACUGGAAUUCCUGGUGUAGCGGUGAAAUGCGCAGAUAUCAGGAGGAACACCGGUGGCGAAGGCGGGUCUCUGGGCCGAUACUGACGCUGAGGAGCGAAAGCGUGGGGAGCGAACAGG